Molecule: ribosomal RNA, 304 nt
Filed under: uncultured bacterium
Lineage: Bacteria
Description: partial 16S ribosomal RNA
Rfam family: Bacterial small subunit ribosomal RNA
Source: RNAcentral
CAGCAGUAGCCGCGGGAAUACGAAGGGGGCUAGCGUUGCUCGGAAUGACUGGGCGUAAAGGGCGCGUAGGCGGAUUGUUUAGUUAGGCGUGAAAUUCCUGGGCUUAACCUGGGGACUGCGCUUAAUACAGGCAGUCUAGAGUGAGGAAGAGGGUUGUGGAAUUCCCAGUGUAGAGGUGAAAUUCGUAGAUAUUGGGAAGAACACCGGUGGCGAAGGCGGCGACCUGGUCCUUUACUGACGCUGAGGCGCGAAAGCGUGGGGAGCAAACAUGAUUAGAUACCCGUGUAGUCCCUGUCUCUUAUAC